Molecule: ribosomal RNA, 3010 nt
Filed under: Salmonella enterica subsp. enterica serovar Paratyphi B
Lineage: Bacteria; Pseudomonadati; Pseudomonadota; Gammaproteobacteria; Enterobacterales; Enterobacteriaceae
Description: 23S ribosomal RNA
Rfam family: Bacterial large subunit ribosomal RNA
Source: RNAcentral
GGGUUGUGAGGUUAAGCGACUAAGCGUACACGGUGGAUGCCCUGGCAGUCAGAGGCGAUGAAGGGCGUGCUAAUCUGCGAUAAGCGCCGGUAAGGUGAUAUGAACCGUUAUAACCGGCGAUACCCGAAUGGGGAAACCCAGUGUGAUUCGUCACACUAUCAUUAACUGAAUCCAUAGGUUAAUGAGGCGAACCGGGGGAACUGAAACAUCUAAGUACCCCGAGGAAAAGAAAUCAACCGAGAUUCCCCCAGUAGCGGCGAGCGAACGGGGAGGAGCCCAGAGCCUGAAUCAGCAUGUGUGUUAGUGGAAGCGUCUGGAAAGGCGCGCGAUACAGGGUGACAGCCCCGUACACAAAAGCGCAUGUGCUGUGAGCUCGAUGAGUAGGGCGGGACACGUGGUAUCCUGUCUGAAUAUGGGGGGACCAUCCUCCAAGGCUAAAUACUCCUGACUGACCGAUAGUGAACCAGUACCGUGAGGGAAAGGCGAAAAGAACCCCGGCGAGGGGAGUGAAAAAGAACCUGAAACCGUGUACGUACAAGCAGUGGGAGCACAGGUUUACCUGUGUGACUGCGUACCUUUUGUAUAAUGGGUCAGCGACUUAUAUUCUGUAGCAAGGUUAACCGUAUAGGGGAGCCGGAGGGAAACCGAGUCUUAACCGGGCGUUAAGUUGCAGGGUAUAGACCCGAAACCCGGUGAUCUAGCCAUGGGCAGGUUGAAGGUUGGGUAACACUAACUGGAGGACCGAACCGACUAAUGUUGAAAAAUUAGCGGAUGACCUGUGGCUGGGGGUGAAAGGCCAAUCAAACCGGGAGAUAGCUGGUUCUCCCCGAAAGCUAUUUAGGUAGCGCCUCGUGAAUUCAUCUCCGGGGGUAGAGCACUGUUUCGGCUAGGGGGCCAUCCCGGCUUACCAACCCGAUGCAAACUGCGAAUACCGGAGAAUGUUAUCACGGGAGACACACGGCGGGUGCUAACGUCCGUCGUGAAGAGGGAAACAACCCAGACCGCCAGCUAAGGUCCCAAAGUCAUGGUUAAGUGGGAAACGAUGUGGGAAGGCCCAGACAGCCAGGAUGUUGGCUUAGAAGCAGCCAUCAUUUAAAGAAAGCGUAAUAGCUCACUGGUCGAGUCGGCCUGCGCGGAAGAUGUAACGGGGCUAAACCAUGCACCGAAGCUGCGGCAGCGAACGUAUCACUUAAAGCGAUUCAGCGGGUUACGAUUGACGGAGCGAAGCGACGUCAAAGCGUAUACAAAGUCGAGUCGGUUUAAGGAUACGUUCGUUGGGUAGGGGAGCGUUCUGUAAGCCUGUGAAGGUGUGUCGUGAGGCAUGCUGGAGGUAUCAGAAGUGCGAAUGCUGACAUAAGUAACGAUAAAGCGGGUGAAAAGCCCGCUCGCCGGAAGACCAAGGGUUCCUGUCCAACGUUAAUCGGGGCAGGGUGAGUCGACCCCUAAGGCGAGGCCGAAAGGCGUAGUCGAUGGGAAACGGGUUAAUAUUCCCGUACUUGGUGUUACUGCGAAGGGGGGACGGAGAAGGCUAUGUUGGCCGGGCGACGGUUGUCCCGGUUUAAGCGUGUAGGUGUGUGUUCCAGGUAAAUCCGGUUCACUUUAACACUGAGGCGUGAUGACGAGGCACUACGGUGCUGAAGCAACAAAUGCCCUGCUUCCAGGAAAAGCCUCUAAGCAUCAGGUAACAUCAAAUCGUACCCCAAACCGACACAGGUGGUCAGGUAGAGAAUACCAAGGCGCUUGAGAGAACUCGGGUGAAGGAACUAGGCAAAAUGGUGCCGUAACUUCGGGAGAAGGCACGCUGACACGUAGGUGAAGUGAUUUACUCAUGGAGCUGAAGUCAGUCGAAGAUACCAGCUGGCUGCAACUGUUUAUUAAAAACACAGCACUGUGCAAACACGAAAGUGGACGUAUACGGUGUGACGCCUGCCCGGUGCCGGAAGGUUAAUUGAUGGGGUCAGCGCAAGCGAAGCUCCUGAUCGAAGCCCCGGUAAACGGCGGCCGUAACUAUAACGGUCCUAAGGUAGCGAAAUUCCUUGUCGGGUAAGUUCCGACCUGCACGAAUGGCGUAAUGAUGGCCAGGCUGUCUCCACCCGAGACUCAGUGAAAUUGAACUCGCUGUGAAGAUGCAGUGUACCCGCGGCAAGACGGAAAGACCCCGUGAACCUUUACUAUAGCUUGACACUGAACAUUGAGCCUUGAUGUGUAGGAUAGGUGGGAGGCUUUGAAGCGUGGACGCCAGUCUGCGUGGAGCCGACCUUGAAAUACCACCCUUUAAUGUUUGAUGUUCUAACGUGGACCCGUAAUCCGGGUUGCGGACAGUGUCUGGUGGGUAGUUUGACUGGGGCGGUCUCCUCCUAAAGAGUAACGGAGGAGCACGAAGGUUGGCUAAUCCUGGUCGGACAUCAGGAGGUUAGUGCAAUGGCAUAAGCCAGCUUGACUGCGAGCGUGACGGCGCGAGCAGGUGCGAAAGCAGGUCAUAGUGAUCCGGUGGUUCUGAAUGGAAGGGCCAUCGCUCAACGGAUAAAAGGUACUCCGGGGAUAACAGGCUGAUACCGCCCAAGAGUUCAUAUCGACGGCGGUGUUUGGCACCUCGAUGUCGGCUCAUCACAUCCUGGGGCUGAAGUAGGUCCCAAGGGUAUGGCUGUUCGCCAUUUAAAGUGGUACGCGAGCUGGGUUUAGAACGUCGUGAGACAGUUCGGUCCCUAUCUGCCGUGGGCGCUGGAGAACUGAGGGGGGCUGCUCCUAGUACGAGAGGACCGGAGUGGACGCAUCACUGGUGUUCGGGUUGUCAUGCCAAUGGCACUGCCCGGUAGCUAAAUGCGGAAGAGAUAAGUGCUGAAAGCAUCUAAGCACGAAACUUGCCCCGGGAUGAGUUCUCCCUGAGACUUAGAGUCUCCUGAAGGAACGUUGAAGACGACGACGUUGAUAGGCCGGGUGUGUAAGCGCAGCGAUGCGUUGAGCUAACCGGUACUAAUGAACCGUGAGGCUUAACCUUACAACGCCGAAG